This 497-nucleotide ribosomal RNA is filed under the name uncultured bacterium. Its description in RNAcentral is "partial 16S ribosomal RNA". It matches the Rfam family "Bacterial small subunit ribosomal RNA", at positions 28 to 507 of the family's 1533-position model. The record is from RNAcentral.
GAUGAACGCUGGCGGCGUGCCUAAUACAUGCAAGUCGAGCGAACAGACGAGGAGCUUGCUCCUCUGACGUUAGCGGCGGACGGGUGAGUAACACGUGGAUAACCUACCUAUAAGACUGGGAUAACUUCGGGAAACCGGAGCUAAUACCGGAUAACAUGUUGAACCGCACGGUUCAACAGUGAAAGACGGUUUUGCUGUCACUUAUAGAUGGAUCCGCGUCGCAUUAGCUAGUUGGUAAGGUAACGGCUUACCAAGGCAACGAUGCGUAGCCGACCUGAGAGGGUGAUCGGCCACACUGGAACUGAGACACGGUCCAGACUCCUACGGGAGGCAGCAGUAGGGAAUCUUCCGCAAUGGGCGAAAGCCUGACGGAGCAACGCCGCGUGAGUGAAGAAGGUCUUCGGAUCGUAAAACUCUGUUAUUAGGGAAGAACAAAUGUGUAAGUAACUAUGCACGUCUUGACGGUACCUAAUCAGAAAGCCACGGCUAACUACGUG